ACUUCAAACUGUUAAAGAUUUUUUGAAGGAACACAUACAGAAGAAGAGGAAGAAAGUUCUCCCAAGUUUGACUCAGGUACAUCAUGUGGUGCUACCAUUCACUCCUUUAUAUGGUGGCCUCUAUAUUUGCUUUGGUCUCCCUACAUUGAAUGCAUUUUGUUGCAAUUUGCUUUUAUAUCAAUUUAUAGAAAACU
Molecule: long non-coding RNA, 194 nt
Filed under: Macaca mulatta (Rhesus monkey)
Lineage: Eukaryota; Metazoa; Chordata; Mammalia; Primates; Cercopithecidae
Description: lncRNA (ENSMMUG00000064949.1)
Source: RNAcentral